UGAGGAAUAUUGCGCAAUGGGCGAAAGCCUGACGCAGCAACGCCGCGUGCGGGAUGACGGCUCUUCGAGUUGUAAACCGCUGUAGCAGGGGAAAAAGACGCGCUUUUCGGAGCGUGGUGAUGGUACCCUGAAAGUAAGCCUCGGCUAACUACGUGCCAGCAGCCGCGGUAAUACGUAGGAGGCAAGCGUUGUCCGGAUUUACUGGGUGUAAAGGGUCCGCAGGCGGACCUGUGAGUCGGUGGUGAAAUCCUCCAGCUUAACUGGAGAGCUGCCUCCGAUACUGCAGGUCUUGAAUCAAGAAGAGGGGACGGAAUUCCAGGUGUAGCGGUGAAAUGCUUAGAUAUCUGGAAGAACACCGGUGGCGAAGGCUGUUCCCUGGUCUUCGAUUGACGCUCAUGGA
Molecule: ribosomal RNA, 400 nt
Filed under: uncultured bacterium
Lineage: Bacteria
Description: bacterial SSU rRNA
Rfam family: Bacterial small subunit ribosomal RNA
Source: RNAcentral